GUCUCUGCCUGGGCUACUCUCUCAGUCUAGAUACAUGGGGCCUAGGCCCUCCCCAAAAUGACUUGACAGAUUUUUAUGAUCCCUCAUGGAAGGCCUCUCCCUCCCUGGGGAGUGGAUGGGGGGUGGUGGGAUAGGGGUUGGAGAGGGGAUGGGAGGAUGGGAGGGAGCCGGAAUUGGGAUUGAUAUAUAAGAUUGUUUCAAAAAAAUAAAAAGAACAACAACAAAAAAUAAAACCCAAAACUCUUCACCCUGCUGGUGCCAGGCACAGUGAUACAUACUUCAUCUGCCUUGGUCUUUCCUAACUCUCUUGAGUUAGGUAAACACAACCUAGCAGCAUAGGGGCUGGAGCUCCCAUCAUGGAAAUCCAUAUUUCCUAUACUGCCAGUGUGGCAGAAGUGACCACAGGAUGGGCAGAAGUUGUACUGAUGCAUGUAAUGUGUGACGUCUUGUUCAAGGAAAGGAAACAGUGUUUAGGUGGAUCUCAGAGGUUCUUGUGUAGAAGUUCUCAGUGCCUUGUGGAAAGCCAUUUCAACCACAAACUUACCAGGGAGCAGAAAUCCCUACGGGUUAAGAAGCAGAAGCAUUUGUAGGAAAUAGGCCCAAGCAGUGCCCAAGUGGUUCAGCUUAAUUUAGGUACAAAUUGCUCACACUCAUAAGAACUCAGGCUCCAGGGCAUGCAAAGCCCUUUGAGAAAAUAGUGGGGUGUCUUUGUUUUCUUUCCUCCUGUGUGAAUUUUACUCUUGAUCAAACCCAGAACUUCACCCAUGCUAGGCAAGAACACUGCCACUAUGCUACACACACUUCAAGCCCCCUUUCCUGCUUUUUACUUUGAUAUGAAGACCUUCCUAAGUUGCUCAGGAUGGCCUUAAACUUGUGAUCUGUCUGUCUCAUCCUUUAUUUCAGUAGCUGGGAUGACAAGUCAAAACCACUAGGCUCUGCUUUUAUUUUUAUUUAAAGGAAGUUAUCACCAGUAAAUGUAUUUAGUGACUCUCAAACCCCAGUGAGCACUGGAAUCAUGCCUGUUACACACACACCCAUAGCCCAUGCCCAGAAUUUCUUUCCAGAGGUCAGAGUGACCUGGACUUUACGUCUCAGACAAGUGCUCAGAUGGUGCUGCUAGUCUUGGAACCAGCCUCUUGAGAAGCCCUAGCCUAAACAGAGGCCUGUCUCAAUUACAAAUAAACAUUCCUAAUGGGGACAAUUAGCAGUAUUUGUUGGUCAAACAAUUGGGGGAAGAAAGCCCUUUUGAGCAGAUUGGAUUCUCCCCAGAUGUGUAGGGUGAUGCCAGAACCAGGCAACAUUAUUCACAUCAAGCCAAACUGUAGCUGAUUCAAUACGCUCCUUCUUUGCUGAGACAACGUGACCCCAUACAAGAACCAGUGCUGCAAGAGACAGGCUCAGAUUUUUGUUUACCAGAUCUAAACACAGCGCCGGAGAAAACAGUCAGGAAUACAAGCACACUGUCCUCCCGCCCACCCUUCCUUCCUUCCUGUUCAACCAUGCAUUCAAAUGUUCCUCAAGAAUCCUUAGACACUGGAAACUGCACAGCCCCACGCAGGGACUUUCAUUAUCAGUGGUGUAUACCCACCCACCUCUUAACCUGCUUCUGCCUUGCUGCAGUUUGGUCAUGAGACAAGGACAAAAAAAUACAAACCUACAAGCAGAGAUGACUAUGGCACAUGAAUAAGCACCUGUAAAUAAAUAUUGUACACUGUUAGGGCUUAUUGCAUCACUGACAGUUUCUGUGUUAGAACUUCAUCUCCUCAGCAACUGUGUUGAGAGGAGGGGUCUUUAAGAGAAUCUGAAAUCAUUGAUGGAUCAAGGUCUUAUAAAGAAAUAUGGCUGCUGUUUCAAGAUUUGUCAGACAAGGGACCUGGACACCCUCUUGUUUCCUCACAGUUUCUCAUCUACCCUCUGCUAAGACAGUGUAGUGAGAAGGCCCUUCCCAGCUGAAGCUUUGGACUUCCCAGCCUCCAGAACUAUCAGAAACAAAUCUCUAUGAAUAAAAAUAGAUCUCUGUAAAUUUUCCCCAUCUCAAUCCCUCUGUUACAGCUGCACAAAAUAAACCAAAACUCUAUGUAAACAUAUGGGUAAAAUAAUUACCUAUGUGGGUGUUUAUGUGUGUAGCUUAAGUUUCACAAGUGAGCAUCCUCCAUGGUGCAUAAACACAUCUCUUUGCAACCCUCCGAAGAUAGGUCUGUAUUGAUCUCAUGGAUCAUAUUUUCACCAGACCAGGGAGCAAUGGGCAUCCUGAAGAUCUUGAUCUUGGGAUUGGGUUCUGCAUGAAGACCAAGGUCUUGCUAAGUCUUUGUAAUAAGCACACCUCAGGAUUUUUUUUUCUUUUAUAUGACAGAACAGUUUGGCUCCUUGAUUAGCAGCUGUCAAACUCCCUGUGUACCUGUUUUUCCAUAGCAGCUCCCAUGGAAGAAACUCAAAAGUUUCCUGUGAUAUAAAGUCUUGUCAGGAGCUGUAGUUGUCCUUCCAAAGUUCCCAAGUGUGGGGCUGUGAAGGAAAUUGCAGGGUUGGAGGGUAGCAAAAGCAGCUUCAGCCCUACCAUUUUCAGAGACCUGGGGAGGUGUUAAUUACAUGGCCACUUCUUUAGAACUUGAGGUAGAUGAUGAGGUGGAGAUGUACCAGGUAGAGAUGGACAAGUGAGUCAGGGGACUGAGUGUGGCACCCUCAGAAGCUUCCUGCUCCUACUACCAUCACAGCCCAGUCUCAUUAUAAUGAAAGACCACAGGCAGGUAAUAUAAGUACUCAUUAGAACUAGGCCUGAGCAUAAGAGUAGUGUGAGGGAGAGAGGUCUCAGACUCCUGCCCAGAGAGUAAGUGGAGCAAUUUAUACAGCUUAUAGUGUGUAUGCCCUGUCAUGACGGGGGUGGGAAGGACUUCUCCCAAAGCAUACUGAAGAAUGCUAUGAUGAAGUCCAGAGCAGCUGUGCAUGGAGUUUUGUGAAGUGGUUGCAAGUGGGGUCAUCUAAGGAUCUUUUGGUCUGUGACAGCAAGACUGAAGCUUCUCAACACAACGCCAUGCAGGGACAGUGGCCAUGAUAGCUGCAUUCCUUCCCCUAAUUUCAAUCAACUUUCUUGGAGGUGUCUGUGGCUGGCCUGAAGUCUCCUCCAGGUAUAGGUAGCUGGAUCAGAUUCUCCCCUGGAAGCUAGGAAUGUUGAAAGCCACCAACUGACAGUUUGAAGAAUUACUAAGGAGUGGCCAUAUGGUUGACAGCUGCCCAGGGAUCUGGAAAUAGUGGGGCUGAAGCUACCUUUGCUACUGAGUGGUCCUGCAACUCCAUUCACAGCCUCCCUGACUUGGGAACUUUGGAAGGACAGCAAUGGCUCCUGACCAGUGUCCACAUCUGAGAGUUGACUUUCACCCCCUGGAAGCCACCCUGGGGGAAGGGGAUACAGGGAGUCUGACAGCUCUUAAUCAAGGAGCCAAACCACUCUGUCAUAUAAGAGGAAAAAUAUCGAGGUGUGUUUAUUAGGACUUCUUACUGUUUUCAGUGAUUCCUAAUAAUGCCCACCUCUAGCCAGGAGCAUGGGGAGGGCUGGGUCCCCCUGACCUGCCUGAGGGUCUUGAGGUCUUGCUCUGUCACAUGCUCCUGGGCCCAAAGCUACAGAGCAGCCAAACAAACCAGACCCUCAAACUCUGUGAGCCAAAAUAAACCUUGUGUCUCUGUAAGCUGAGUAUCUUAGGGAUUUGCCAUAGUGACAGAAAGCUGGCUGACACACUCCAGUUUCCUUGUGCUUGUCACUUGGCUUCCAUCUUCUGCUGACAUUGUCUCCUCCUAAAUUUCUCUCAUACAGUUCUUGGGAGAAUUCUUAUGAAAUCAAAAAGCAAACCAACUACCACCACCAUAAAAACCACAACUCAUGGCUUAUUUGGUAAAGUAUUUGUUAUGCAAGCAUGAGCACCUGAGGUAGACCCCAGAUUCCACACACAAAAAAGCUGAGCAUGGUGACACAAAUUUGUAAUUCAAGCACUGAAGGGUGGACAGAGAGGCAGGAGAAUUCCUGGGACUUACUGGAUUACCAGCCUAUCCAAUUUGGCAAGUUUCAGGUAAAAAGUGAGAGACCCUGUCUCAAAAGCCAAGGUGGUGGGAUGCCUAAGGGAAUGAGAGCCAAUAUGCCAACAUACACACAGAGGCCUCACACAUCUCUUACAUACACAUACACACACAUGCACAAAAUAUGAAGUUAGUAGGUAGAGUCGGUCACCAGCUACUCUGAUGACAGAAAAAUGGAAAAGUAUGUACAGGACAAAAUGAUAGUGAUGAUGCAAUGAUUUACAGGCACCGUGAUAAAUGUCUUUUCAUUGUGUCCUGAAAAUGAUCCUCAGCCUAGGGCCUGAUUUUACAGAUACACCAAGGCUGAAAGAUGCUGAGCAUCACACGACAGCUAAGAGGCAAGUGUGGCAUCCACAACAUGGCUUUCCUGCCAUUGGAACCACGUGGCUGUGCAGCCUCAAGUGCCCUCCUCUUCUUGCCAGCCCUAGAGUCUCUGGCGGGUUUGUCUUUCCAAGAUUCCUCACAAUGAGCUCACUUCCAUCUCGAGGUUCUUCCUGAGGGUAAUACUGUUGUUGAUACAAAAAAAUGUAAACAAAAGACUGUUUUCAAAAUUAGAACCAGAUCUUAAGGAAGAGAGUGAACCUCUCACGCCAAAGUCUGGUAGGAUCUAACUACAUUAGUGCAGCUGUUCUCUCUAGAUGCUGUGCUGGGGGAACCAGGGUGCUCUGCAGAGGUCAUGACCUGGGCUAUUGUCCAGGCUGCAGAGAAUCCAGGUGCCCUAGAUUUGGCUUGAAGACUUCUUAUACCUGGUACACAUUGGGAAACUUUCACCUGCCUGGCUACAUGUGCCUGGGGCCUACUAAAUCCAAAAUGUGGAACUUGGCCAAAGAAACACUGUGGUAGCCUCCAUAGCUCCUGUACCUGCUGGCACUGCACUGAAUAUGCUCUCAUUUUUUCAUUCAUCCAUCCAUUUAUUUAUCAGAGAGAAGCUAAAGUCAAGUGAGCACUCAAGAUCAAGGCCAGCCUGGGCUACAUAAUAGUUCCAAGCCACUCUAGAUUUCAAGCAUGAAAGACUAUCUCACAAAACAAACCAUGAAAAAUAGGAUUCCAUUAAUGAAGAUUCUGGCCCAUUCUCUUUUCACCUUCCACAUGGAUCCACCUCUCAAAAGUCCUACCAACUCUCAAUAUACACCAGUCACUGAGUUACCAGAACAUGAAAGUUCAAGGGAAAAAAAUAUGUAUCAUUUACCUGCCAUAGGUUUUGAAUAAACGUGGAAAAGGAAACCAACUGGACAACCCAAAGUCCCCAUAGGACUGCACAUAGUGAAGCAGUGUUCAUAACUGUUCAACAACCAGCUCUCUGGGAAAAGCUCUGAGUUUACCACGGUACCAGUGUGUCAAGUUCAAUUAUUUCCACCACAAGAAAUCCAUGCUACCAUGAUGUCACUAGUCAGAGCCCUGGAAAUGUACAGGGGAUCCUCUGGAGCAGAAGCCCAGCUCAGCACCAAAGCCCCUAGCAGUAAAUUGUGGCUAGAAUCCAGCUGGCUUGGUAGAAAAGGAAUGAAGGGUCCCAGGGAAGUUUUGUUGAGAUUGUAGCCCACAAGGCUCCUCCAUACUCAACAUGGAAACAGAGCAGAGGUUUGUGUCCUGACCAAGUCAAAUGGAUCUGGGCAUAGGCUCUAACGUCUCUGUGGGCAGAUACCUUGUUGGGAAGCUGUUCCAAUUGUAGAUAAAUGAUGAGACAAUAGGUAGGAAGCACUCAGCAAGGUUUCUAGCAGGUACUUUGGAGGCCAGUGGAUUUUUAACCACUCACCUAUUUUCUCUCUUCACAGUGUCCAAUCAGAUACCUGAAUCAAGUACCAUUUUAGGAUUCACGGACGAUUUCUAAGCACAAUAAAGCUGAAGAAGCUCUGAUGUCAAAUGCCCACCUGAGUCUGCUAGAAGCACAACAAUCAGGGGCUGAUUUGAAGCCAUCUCCAGGAGGAAUAAGGGAGCUUUCAUCCAGAGGGUACAGAAGCUAUAGAACUGACCACUCCAGAGAUGCAUCUUGUACAGGACCAGAAGUAAAUCUGCAAGUCAAGGACUCCCUGAUGCUCUGUGCUCCAUCUGAACACACAGAUACCUGCCCCUGUCAAGGCACUCUCAGCUCUCCAUGCCAGAGAACAUUGUUAACAGCUCUGUUCCUUGUCUGAAUGGUUUAGAAGUAUAGGUACCACAUGCCUUGUGUAUAUGCACUUUUUGCCACUGUUUCUCUUGCUGCUGAUGUCAGCUUGCCACCAAUGCAGCCAUCAACCCUAAACUGAAGCCUGUACCAAUGAGAAGC
RNAcentral lists this long non-coding RNA (6328 nucleotides) under Cricetulus griseus (Chinese hamster). RNAcentral describes it as "lncRNA (ENSCGRG00015040924.1)". The record is from RNAcentral. Lineage: Eukaryota; Metazoa; Chordata; Mammalia; Rodentia; Cricetidae.